UAAUUUUUGUAUUUUUAGUAGAACCGAGGUUUCACCGUAUUGUCCAGGCUGGUCUUGAACUCCUGAACUCAGGCAAUCUGCCUGCCUUGGCUUUCCAAAGGUCUGGGAUUACCGUCAUGAGCCACGGCACCUGGCCUCUGCUCCCCUUUUGAUGCCAGACCCGGAGAGGCCAACAGUUAGCUCUGGGGCUGCUGUCCUUCUGUGUGUCCUCUCCUGUGGAUUUUAGAAAUGAGCAUAGAAUUCUAGAGGGAUGAGUUGAGAGGAGGAACAGGAGCCCAGGAUGAAAACUACAGCUCAAGUGGGCAGGCAGGGAAGUGAGGGAUGACAAUUCACAGGGCAUCCAUUUACACCCCAAUUACAGGCAUCCAGGCCUUCAAAGCAGCGACAUCAGGAAAGCCGGUUGUGAAAGGAUUCACCCUAGGACUCAUCUGCAAGGGUGGCUUCUAGCUCAUUUAAUAUACAUUUGAAUAAUACAAUAAUAGGAACGGGUGUGUAGAUGGCCGGGGUUGCUGGCACCAUUCCCUUGAUGAUGCUCAUGGGAACUCUAUGAGGAUGGAGUGAUCAUAAUCUCCAUCUUACACAAGGGGAAACUGAGGCUCAGAGAGGUUAAGCGACGGACCACAGUCACACACGAAAUUGCAGAAGUGAGUGUCAGACCCAAGUCUGCUGUACCCAAAGGCAAUCGCGUGGUCAUUUAGGAGCCCUGCUGUUUUGAGACCCCACAGAGAAAGUGUGGGUGUUCCGUGUUCCUCUUACUGAUUUAUUUAUUUUACGUUGUCUUCUGGUCAUGUGCUGUUCCUGCCUGAAGUCCAGUCUGUGGGGCUGGUGAGAGGGCCAUGAAGGAGAUUUCUGGAUGAGGUCCUGGUCCCCCUGCCUCCCUCUGGCCCCAUGUCUCUGGGUCUGUUCCCCUCCCAUGCUCUCGCUUGCUCAGACCUGGCUGUUAGAUUCAGUAUGUGGCCUCAGGAAGUCCCCCGUCUCCUGCUUCACGACACUGUCUUGGUGCUGAGAGCUUGAAGGGCUCCCACUCUGAUAAUAACUUCCAAAUGGACUCUCACGUCAGCCCAGUCUAGGGGUUUGGAGUCAACGGCUUUUUCACAGUGUGACUUUGGGCAGAGAACGCAACCUCUCUGAGCUCAGUUUUCACUUGCAAAAUGGGUGUAACAACAUCUUCCCCUAGAGAUUACGUGUUCAGUUAGAGGACACAUGAAAGCGUUCCAGAGUGUUCCUCUCGCGCCUCUGUCUUUCUCUCUGUUCUCAGCUUCUCUCACCUUCCUCAGAAGUCCCCAGACUGAAGUGAGCUUUAUUUACAUUUCAGAAGAAACACCAGACUCUGGGUCUAGAUAUCAUCUCUUCCCAGUUUCCCAGGAGCGUAGCCUGGGGUCCUCCUGUCUGGCAGCCUCUGCGCCCUGGCUGUGUGGCUGAGCUGCCUCUCCCUACCCUCUCUCCCUUCCUCCUCUUCACCUCUGCCCUCUCCGUCUCUCCCCGGCUCUCCCAGGCCUCAGCCCUCUGCUGCUGUUUGCCAGUUUCCUCCUGGUUUCCAGCACACAUCGUCGUUGCUACUUUUGAUUACAUUCCCAGUCUCUUUUCAAGUUUAUUUCCCUUAGGUCUUCUGACUUGCUUGGAGCCAGGAGGGAGCAGAAGUGGCUUGAACCUCUGGGGAAGGCUGGAAUCCUGGAGGCUCUACCUUCAAAUAAUCAGAAUCCAACAACUUCUUCCCCGCGCUGCUGCCUCUUCCUGGUCAGAGAUGCCGCUGACUGUACCGGGAGCAAUGCCCUGGUCUCCUAACUGGUCUCCUGCCUCUACACUUGCCCCCUCCGGUCUGUUAAGUCCACGUCCUGUUCUGGAUGUUUCAUAUAAAUGGAAUCACACAAUCAGUGGUACUGUGUGACUGGUUUAUUUCCUGAGUGCUACAUUUUACAACUCCGUGAUGUUAUUAUUUGGUUGGAGCAAAAGUUAUUGCAGUUUUGGCCAUUGCUUUUAAUGGCAAAUCCGCAAGAACGUUUGCAUCAACCUAAAUAAGUAAGCAAUGGUUAAACCAUACAUUCUCAAAUGUAUUAGAAAGGAAUAAUAGUAAAUAUUUGGAAGACAGUCAGUGGGGCAGGAUGCGAGGUAAGAAGAGUGACUGUAGGUCAGGAGUCAGGGGCGUCGGGUUCUAGUCCUGAUUCUGUCUUUAGCCAUGCAACCAAGUGAGCACAGCAACCUCUCUGGGGACACUAAUACAUUUGUUCAAGCCGCCCAGCAACUAAUGGAAAGAGAUUACAGCUAGGAC
This 2269-nucleotide long non-coding RNA is filed under the name Homo sapiens (human). RNAcentral's name for it is "HSALNT0001733". The record is from RNAcentral. Lineage: Eukaryota; Metazoa; Chordata; Mammalia; Primates; Hominidae.